CGGGUCGUGCGCCGGUCUCAGGAGCGGACGCGCUUGCGGAGCACGUCGAUGCGCGACUGAAGCUGCGUCACGGUCGCCUGCGCGACGGCCGGGCC
This 95-nucleotide transfer RNA is filed under the name Microbacterium foliorum. Its description in RNAcentral is "tRNA-Arg". The record is from RNAcentral. Lineage: Bacteria; Bacillati; Actinomycetota; Actinomycetes; Micrococcales; Microbacteriaceae.